GAUGAACGCUGGCGGCAUGCCUAAGACAUGCAAGUCGAACGGAGGGGCCCAUUGAUAAUUAUUGAAAGUGGAGUGCUUGCACAAAACCGGAUUUAGUUUGAUUUGGAUUUUCCCCUCAGUGGCAGACGGGUGAGUAACACGUGGGUAAUCUACCUUCAAGACUGGGAUAACGUUUAGAAAUGAACGCUAAUACCGGAUAAACCAUAUUUAGAUAACUAGAUAUGUUGAAAGGGGCUUCGGCCUCACUUGAAGAUGAGCUUGCGGUGUAUUAGCUAGUUGGUGAGGUAAUGGCUCACCAAGGCAACGAUGCAUAUCCGAGCUGAGAGGCUGAACGGACACAUUGGGACUGAGACACGGCCCAGACUCCUACGGGAGACAGCAGUUGGGAAUAUUCGUCAAUGGGGGAAACCCUGAACGAGCAAUGCCGCGUGAGUGAUGAAGGUCUUACAGAUUGUAAAACUCUGUUGUGAAGAAAGAAACCUUGCCAUAGGG
RNAcentral lists this ribosomal RNA (492 nucleotides) under uncultured bacterium. RNAcentral describes it as "bacterial SSU rRNA". It matches the Rfam family "Bacterial small subunit ribosomal RNA", at positions 28 to 463 of the family's 1533-position model. The record is from RNAcentral.